GGGCCGUUAGCUCAGCGGAUAGAGCGCCCGACUUCUAAUCGGAUGAUCGUGGGUCCGAUUCCCACACGGCCCG
Molecule: transfer RNA, 73 nt
Filed under: Candidatus Limnocylindria bacterium
Lineage: Bacteria; Bacillati; Chloroflexota; Candidatus Limnocylindria
Description: tRNA-Arg
Rfam family: tRNA
About the family: Transfer RNA (tRNA) molecules are approximately 80 nucleotides in length. Their secondary structure includes four short double-helical elements and three loops (D, anti-codon, and T loops). Further hydrogen bonds mediate the characteristic L-shaped molecular structure. tRNAs have two regions of fundamental functional importance: the anti-codon, which is responsible for specific mRNA codon recognition, and the 3' end, to which the tRNAs corresponding amino acid is attached (by aminoacyl-tRNA synthetases). tRNAs cope with the degeneracy of the genetic code in two manners: having more than one tRNA (with a specific anti-codon) for a particular amino acid; and 'wobble' base-pairing, i.e. permitting non-standard base-pairing at the 3rd anti-codon position.
Source: RNAcentral